CAGUAGCCACGGUAAUACAGAGGGUGCAAGCGUUAAUCGGAAUUACUGGGCGUAAAGGGCGCGUAGGUGGUUGCGUAAGUGAGAUGUGAAAUCCCCGGGCUUAACCUGGGACGUGCGUCCUAUACUGCGCAACUGGAGUGCAAUAGAGGGUAGUGGAAUUUCCGGUGUAGCGGUGAAAUGCGUAGAUAUCGGAAGGAACACCAGUGGCGAAGGCGGCUACCUGGAUUGACACUGACACUGAGGCGCGAGAGCGUGGGGAGCAAACAGGAUUAGAGACCCGAGUAGUCCCUGUCUCUUAUAA
This 301-nucleotide ribosomal RNA is filed under the name uncultured bacterium. RNAcentral's name for it is "partial 16S ribosomal RNA". It matches the Rfam family "Bacterial small subunit ribosomal RNA", at positions 509 to 809 of the family's 1533-position model. The record is from RNAcentral.